UACAUGCAGGCAAUACACUCAUACGCAUAAAAUAAAAAUAAUAAAAUAUUAAAAAAAGCUAUCUACUUCAUUUGAGAAUCAGGCUAAACACAAACACAUGAGGGCCAUUCUCUUUGGGAAAAAUUCGUAAGUUCCAGAAAGUGCUAAAAUUACUGUCCACUAUCACCUUGGACCCCGACAUCUUAGAAGUCACCUCUGUGUUUCCAGUUUGAUGGCUGUGUUUCUAUUUUACCAUCCUCUUGAAUCAGUUUCCCUGAUUUCUAUUAUAAUGAGGUUUUAAUUUAGUUGCUUCUUAUGCCUUCCUUAGUCUGUUCUGAGGACAAGACGUACACAAUUCCUCAACCCAAGCUCAGGUGUCUGGAUACCUUUUCUCUGCACUCCAGGUGUGUUUUAGAGUGAUCAGGAAGAAGGACUGCCAUGUUACCCACCUCUCCUCCAGGCCAGAUAAUCCCUGGCCAACACCCUGAGCCUGCUGGGUACAGUUUUGGAAAGUUGCAGAGUUUACCCUUCUGGAAUAUUCCUUAAGAUGCCAAGCCAUCUUAUGAAGUGGACUUCAUGCUCACAAGGCUUUGUAGCACUACACUGGGCUGAGCGAUCUGGUUUGGUCUUUCUUUUUCAAGGGCUGGGCUGUUGACCAUGAGACAGUUUUAACUUCCUGGAUACCUGUAAGACCAACUAGUUGAGCUGUUAGUUUCUUCUCAUGCAAGAUGGCCCGGUACCAGCUUCAGGGGAUUAUUGAAAGGACGAAGUGGACUACUGUGGAUGGUUCACUUCGAACAAAGCCCAGCAUGUAGGAAUCACUUGCUGGGAUCAUUAUUUUUCUGCUCUCAGUUUUCCAUGAUUUCGUCUCAGAACUUCUGCGACAGUUGACAUGGAGUCCCGUGGCCCUCCAGGCUGGCUAGCUGAUGAGCUGUGCUGUGCUUUAACCUACAGUUUGUGAUAUUUGGCCAUCAGGGCAAUUUCAAUUGAAAGAGCAAGGGGUCACUUGCUGAAUGAAUGAGUCCUGGAUUUGUGCUGUUUGUACCCCAGAGGUUUGAUAAUCUGUGGUAAAUUCAUUUGGCAGAUGUGCAUCUAUGGCAAUUUUUCAGUGAGCACUGUCCUAAAUUAAUUAAUCACUAGGCAAUUCAAUCUAAAUUGAACGCUGCUGCUGCACACAGAAAAUUUUUGUUUGCAGUCUUGAAUUGUCCCUAUUUAAAUUAAGUCAAUUAAAACUCUCUGUUCCUAACCACUUUUUUCAAUAGAAUGUACCUAAAUGGUCACAAUACUCUGCAGGGCAUCCUUCUGGUAUGAGUUUGUGUCUCUUUAAUGUCUGUAGUUAAUCAUUUUCAGACACCAUUUGAGCUGUUUUCUGCCAUUGCCUUGAAAACCAUUUGCUGCGCAUUUGCUGGGUGCUGAGGGAAGCUGAUGAGGUUGACAUAAAAUAUGGGAGCGAAGAUCAUGGGGUCACUGUUGAGGUUUAACAAACAAUGUUGCUCUGUGUUGUUGACCAACAGGUCACAGGGAAAGGAGCAGUGUCAGGGGGAAAUGAGUCUCAUGUCAGCUGUUUACAAGAUAGGAGUUCCAGGAAUGGGCUCUAACAAGCAGAUGGUGCAACUCUGAAGUGGACAGGUUGUUAACCCAAGCGCUCCUUUGCCUUGUGGAUCUCUGAGAAACAACCAACUUCAUUAGCCCCAUCCUCCCCAGAAUGUCCCAAAUGCACAUGCGAACACCGAAUGCCCCUCAGAUACACUGAGAGUCAGUGGCAAGAUUGGUGAAAUAAGUCCAAAUAGGAUGCUGACCUUCCUCACAACUUGAAGUUACCCUCUGCCUUCGCACAGGGCCGGUGAUUUGGUCAAGCACUUUGUGGUGUUUGGGGUUGAGGGAGCAGCCUUUUUGUCCUUCAGUGGUUCAAGUGAGGCUAUCUGAAACGGAAGGUCAUUGCAAGAGAUAAUGCAGCUUUGAGGUCUCAGAGGCAAUGCUAUGAGCUUCUCUGGAGGCCAAAGAGGCUGCAAAGUGCAGCCAGGUAGUAGCCCACCUCCCUGCUCCCUUCCAAGGUGUGGUCUGCCCUGGGUCUGCACUCUGUCUUUUCCCUCUCCUGGCUCCUUUCCCUCUUCUUAAACUCCCCUCAGGUGGCUCAUGCUGAACUUUUUCUGUAAUCACAGCGCAAGGACUUGCUCCUUUUCUCUCCAAGCCACCCUGGAGGAGCCAGUCAUGGCAAGGCUGCUGCCUUUGCCUUGCCGCCAAUGGAGCAGACGGCUCCGUGUUUUGCCAGGUAGAGCUGGAAGCCUAAGAAGUGUCAGGCAGAGUGGAAAGAGCGCUGGCCUGGGGAGUCAGCACCCAGCCUACAUUCCCUAACCCGGAAGCCUCCAGGCCACUUGAGCUACCCAGCCCAUCAGGUAGGUGGUUUCUGAGAGGUUAGGCUCUGAGUUCCCUGGAGAGUCUCUAUGUUGUGUUUUCAGAACUUGCAAGGACAAGGGGUAGGUCUCUUGCUGAUGCUUCACUAGGAAGAUCAAAGAGUUUCAGAUGUUCCACUAAGGUUAGUAUCCCAAGUGACAGUCUCUUCCAGUUCAUUUCUGGUCAUUAUAACCCAGGCUUAGGCCCAGCUUCUGAACCUCUCAUCUUUACCACAGAACAGCCAGCCUGACUCAUCCUCGGACUUUACAGAUUUCUUGCCAACCGAAAGCCUGUUUAGCAUUCCAUCCAUUAUCUUGUUGAGCAGAGCCAGCUCCGCGCAGGAGCUGCUCCAGUUGCUGAGACUCUGAAGGAUUGUGAUUUGGAAAGUCUAUUGAGUAUGGAAAUAAAACAACGUUCCAGUACUAGAUGCACAAGCAAUGCUUCGUUGUUGCUACUGUAAGCAUCCAUCCUUGGAGACUGUGGUUGGGAUGUCACUUGGCAUGUAGGAAGAAGGAACAGAUCAUGUCACUGCUGAUGCCUGCUGACAAUGGGAGUCAGGGUUUCCAGGCUUCUAUUUGUUGACUGGGGACCAGUGGGCUUCAGGAGCUCUCCAGGUUUUCAGCACCACUUUGGGACUACUGAGGCACCCAGGCCUAUGGACUGAGCAAUUAUCGGAGUCUCUGCCACUCAAAUGUGAGACAGUCACUGUGGGACUACUCCAACUCUGAGGUCCCUCCCAGCCUCAAGGAAGAACAACUACCAGGUCCUCAGUCUCUCGAGUGUGAUUCCACUGUUGUUACAGUUCCAAAUGACGCCUUCUAGUGCUGAGACCCUCUUUUGUUAAACUGGCCAAAAGGAAAGAAUGACCUGAAAUCAUGCAGUCUUGGGUGAAAGGCUGAAAAAUUUGGUCAGACCACAAUUCUACUGAUCCUGUCCUUAUGACUUCACUUGGAAAAAGCUACGGAAAGGAGCAACUCAAGCAUGGAUGUUUGCUAGUAUCAAUAAUAAGCGGCUGGGAAUGAACGCUGUCUUCCCAUCAGCAUUUAUUUAUCCUCAACUCUGCAAAGCACUUGCUGCUGAUAAAAAAUAAAAUCAUCGGAACCAAACCCUCUCAUGCAAGGAGUGAGUGAAUGCAAAGCACAGACAUCCCCCAAACUGGACAUUUUUAUUUUCAAGAUUUCAUCCAAAUGUUUAGGGUGACUGGACACAGGGUCCAAGAUUUCAAUCUGACUUAAAAUAGUUCAAAUAUUAUCCAGGGAGCUUUUUUUUGAAAACUUUUGGGAGAGAUCUUCAUUUUGACGUAGUCUGGCCCUUCCUGGACUGGCAUUUAUGCAGAAUAAAGUUGAAAGCACAGAGUUAUGACCUCAGACUGUUUAAUGUUAUGCAAAUUGUUGGAUAUCACAAUUGUCUGUGGAAAAAUUUCCAGAACAAUGACACGGUAUGGAAGUAAAAACAAAACUAGAAAAUAUUUGGCAAAGUGUGCAUAUUAUCACUUUGGAACUUACAAAUUCUCAAGGGGGUUGUUUCUUUGCUGGGGCUCUGGAAAAGAAAUCAUUUUAUAUCACUCUAUGUGAGGCUCAUGAAAGGACAGCUUGUUUUAGGAUCCCUGAUGUCACUAUAACGGCAAGCUAAAAUACAAUAGCAUUUAUGAGAAAUACCACAGAUAAAUAAAAUGAAUUUCAGACUGUGGGGUUUAAAUUUUAUACUUAUGUAGUCUCAAGGGAAGCGAGUUCUUAGAUCACUGGCUGGUUUGUGUGUGUUGUUUGAUUUGCUGAGAUUUAGAGUUUUUGAGUAAUGAACUAAAAGGUCACUAAUAAUUUACAGAAAGUAUAGCAGAGAUUCCGGCCUGAGUGCUUGGAGAUUACAGGGAGGGUCAGAGUCAUUUUUCAACAUGGAGAUAUUCUAGUGGUUCCCUCGAGCAAGUUAAGCUUAAAGUUUGAUCCUUAUGCCCAUGUCUUCUUCCUUAAAAAUAACGUAGCACAUCUAUACUGUAAAGCAAUCAGCAUGCACAUGAGUGAUUCCUGUUCAAGCAGACUUUCAAAGACAGCACACAAAGAGCUCUUGCAUGUUUCAGGAAUACAGUGACAGAAACUGGUACACACAAUAGCAUUUAAAGGAAAACUUGGUGGACUGUGAGGUCAGACUUCGGCCCUUCCUUGUUUGUCAAUGGACAAAAACAAACUGGCUCCAGCCUGAAUGUCAUGUGUCUUUCUAACCUACUGCACAGGAGGGACCAGAGACACAAUUAUCAAUACAUCACAAGAGCAGACAGAAAGCUGUUAGUAGUAGGUAGUGACAACCAGGAGUUAAGAUACCUUUUAAAAAAUGAUGCAAGUUCUGUUAGGAGUGCAUCUCAGAAAGCAAUUCCAAACUAUUAGAAGAACGGAACCCCUGUCCAAGUGCCCUUGUGAGACUUUUCAUACCUUAAUUUACCCUGUCGAAUAAAAAACCCCAAAUCAAAACAAAACCCAUAAAAUUCUAGGUCUUCUUAACUAUUUUAAAAGGUUCCAAGAAAAAUACUGAACUUUGUCCAAGAAGAGGCACCAGAUUUUUUGUGGAGAUUAACACAAGUUGUUUAUAUGGUGUGUGAUGGACUAUACAGUUUAUCCAUCUCUAUAACCCACUGGAUGCAAGAAUCCAAGCCACAAUAUACUUGACCGGCACCCAGGUUCAAGGUCACCUUCCAGACCUCAGACCAAAGGUGUGGUGUGGGCAUGCUUAGCAGGGUUGCCGCGUAGUUAGCAGUUUAAGUGCAGCAAGGAUGGACAGGUCUACUUAAACAGAAAAUGAGCUAAUUUCUAGGGACAAAGAUCUCCUUACAGGAAGAUUAAAAACUAAUGUCUUAAAAAAAAAUAGAUGAAGACACUACAUCUCAGGGAGAAAAAAAGGAAAACAAACUAAAAAGUUUAGAACUGUGUGAACGAGACCUAAGGACAUCAUUCUGUUAUAUGCUGCAUUGAUGUAGGCCUCACUAUGUCAGAGUUGAGGCCGGUCAUAAUGAUGGAAUAUCUAUUUUGAAGACAAUAGCUUUGAGGAAUUCUAUGAAUGUAUUUUAAGGAGCACAGAUUUGUGGGGGCCCCUUUUAAAUUUGGUUUUGCCUUAUAUUCAGUGUAAAGUAUUUGUACAAAAAUAUAAAAGGCAUGGCUUGAUGUUUAACAUCUGUUUUAUUUUUGUUGGCACCAGAAGAGGGUUAUGUUCUAUGUCAUGUCACUGUACAUACUGUAAACAAGACUGCAUUAAUAUGUUUUCUUAUGAUUUUUUUUGUUUCAAUGAAUCUAGAUUUUAAAAAAUACAUUCACAAACUACCUUAUGUUUAAACACAAUGAUUCCCUUUUAUUUCUUAACUGUUCCCCAAAAUCCCACAAUAAAAAAAAUCAUUUAAAGCUGUGUAUUUC
Molecule: long non-coding RNA, 5768 nt
Organism: Nannospalax galili (Upper Galilee mountains blind mole rat)
Lineage: Eukaryota; Metazoa; Chordata; Mammalia; Rodentia; Spalacidae
Exons: 4
Source: RefSeq, a predicted model, not a curated record